AUGCCCCACAGGCCAAUUUGGUGGGAGCAUUUCCUCAGCUGAGUUUCCUUCAUCCCAAAUGACUCUAUCUUGUGUCAACUUGACAUAAAACUAGCCCAGUACAAUGCUGAACAUGUAAUUUUUAUUCUAAGACUUUAUAGUUUCAAGCCUUAUUUUUAAUUAUCUUUUCUACUUUGAGUUGAUUGUGCGUGUGUGUGUGUAUGUGUGGUGUAAGAUUUGUAUGCUGUAAGAUAAAUGUUCGAUUUUACUGUUUUCCAUGUGGAUAAUAUGGUCAUUUUCCCCCCACCAUCAUUUGUUGAAGAGACUACUGUUUCCUCAUUGUGUUUUCCUGGUACUGUUGUUGAAGAGAAGUUAAGUUUAUUUAUUUUUACAUUUAUUUCCAAGGUCUUUAUUUUGUCCCAUUGGUCUAUACAUCAGUCUUUACUAUAGUUCGAUACCAUUUAAAUUACUGUUGUUUUAUAAUAUAUGUUGAAAUUGGGGACUGUGUUAUCUUUAGCUUUGUUCUCAAGAUUGUCUUUUUUGAGGUCGUGCAAAUUUUAUAAUUUCUGUGUGUUUAUAUAAGCAUAUUAUUGGGGUUUUGAUUUUGUCUCGACUCUAAAUAUUUUGGUAAUGUGGAAAUUUUAAGAGUUAACUUACAAUUGUGAACAUCUGCUGUGUCUUCUUCUGUCUCUUUGUCAGUGUUCUAGAGUUUUCAGUGUGUAGGUCUUCUACUUCAGGGUUAGGUCCAUCCUGCCUCAUUCUUUUUCAUGUUGUUAUAGAGGAUUUGCUCUCAUAAUAUUUGACCCUUUUCAGAUGGUUGUGUAACUCGUAUAUAGAAAUGCAACUGUUGCCUGUUCAUCUUGCUUGAUGGAAUGUUUCCAGAUUAAUUUCUAGUUCUCAGUUCUAACAGUUAUGGGGUGUUUGUCACUCUCUCUCCACAAAGGAUCAUUUCAUAUUCAAAGGGGACAGUUUCACCUUUUCCAGUGUGGAUACCUUCCCCUCCUUGUUUAAUUGUUUUUAGUGCAGUUUUCAGUACUGUGUAGACAGAUACAUAAAGAGAAGUCCUUGACUGAUCCUGAUAUCAAUAAAAAUGUGUGUUUUUCACUACUGGUUUUGUUAGCUAUGGGCUUUCAUAUAUGGCACAUAUUGUGUUCAGGUAAUUUCCUUCUGUUUUUGUUGAAAAUGGAUUUUUUUUUUUCGGUCUUAAAAAGGGAAUUGAAAUUCAUUGUAUGCUUUUUCUAGGUUUAUUGAUCCAAUUAUGUAACUGUUAUCUUCUUUCAUUCAUUUGAUGAUAUAGCCACUAAAUUAUUUUUUCUUGUAUCCCAAAGAUAAAUCCUAAUUUCGAAGUGAAUGUGCUUUUUUCAUGCACUAUUGAGUUUGGUUUGAUAGUGUUUGUGUAAAGACUUUUUUCCUUUUACAAUUUUUAUUACAUUUAUUUAUUUAUUUUGGUGUCAUUUUUCCUAAAGUUGUCAAAAGCACUUGCUUUAUUACUGCCUUAGCACAUUCCCUGCUGACUUAGGUAUGGAUAUAUUCUGAAUAUUCAUAGUCUGAAUGAAUGGCUUUGUUUUCCUAAGUGACCCACUAAGAUACCGCUAGUACAUUAAGAGGGAAAAUACAUCUCUUUCUCACGUAUUUUGAGGCCAGCUUGGUCUGUCUAUAGAGCAAGUUCCAGGAUAGCUAGGGCUACAUAGAGAAACUCUGUCUCAAAAAACAAACAAACAAACAAACAAACAGAAAACCCACAAGUGUUCCAAUAUUUUUCUUUUAAAAAAAAUCAAGAUUUAUUGAAACUAUGUAAUCUGGGCUGGGCAGUGGUGGCGCACGCCUUUAAUCCCAGCACUUGGGAGACAGAGGCAGGUGGAUCCUCUGUGAGUUCGAGGCCAGCCUGGUAUGGAACUACAGAGUGAGUUCCAGGAAAGGCGCCAAAGCUACACAGAGAAACCCUGUCUCAAACAACAACAACAACAACAACAACAACAACAAAAAAAAAAACCAACUAUGUAAUCUUCAGACAUUGGAG
This is a long non-coding RNA of Peromyscus californicus insignis, 1999 nucleotides long. RefSeq lists it as uncharacterized. NCBI's taxonomy places the organism in Eukaryota, Metazoa, Chordata, Mammalia, Rodentia, Cricetidae. The transcript has 2 exons. The record is from RefSeq and is a predicted model, not a curated record.